Molecule: ribosomal RNA, 397 nt
Filed under: uncultured bacterium
Lineage: Bacteria
Description: partial 16S ribosomal RNA
Rfam family: Bacterial small subunit ribosomal RNA
Source: RNAcentral
AUACGUAGGUGACAAGCGUUAUCCGGAUUUACUGGGCGUAAAGGGCGUGUAGGCGGUCUUGCAAGUCAGAAGUGAAAUUCCUGAGCUCAACUCGGGCGCUGCUUCUGAAACUGCAGGACUUGAGUGCUGGAGGGGAUAGCGGAAUUCCUAGUGGAGCGGUAAAAUGCGCAGAUAUUAGGAAGAACACCGGUGGCGAAGGCGGCUGUCUGGACAGUAACGGACGCUGAGGCGCGAAAGCGUGGGGAGCAAACAGGAUUAGAUACCCUGGUAGACCACGCCGUAAACGAUGAAUACUAGGUGUGGGGGGUAUCGACUCCCUCUGUGCCGCAGUUAACACAAUAAGUAUUCCGCCUGGGGAGUACGGCCGCAAGGUUGAAACUCAAAUGAAUUGACGGGG